Molecule: unclassified non-coding RNA, 367 nt
Filed under: uncultured bacterium
Lineage: Bacteria
Description: contains 16S-23S intergenic spacer region
Source: RNAcentral
UCUGGGUUUAUCCCAGCGGUCUCGUUAGAAAAGUGUAACUAACGACGAGGGUUGCGCUCGUUGCGGGACUUAACCCAACAUCUCACGACACGAGCUGACGACAGCCAUGCAGCACCUGUGUUCCCGUUCCCUUUCGGGCACAGCCCCAUUUCUGGGGCCUCCAGGACAUGUCAAGGGUAGGUAAGGUUUUUCGCGUUGCAUCGAAUUAAUUCACAUAAUCCACCGCUUGUGCGGGUCCCCGUCAAUUCCUUUGAGUUUUAGCCUUGCGGCCAUACUCCCCAGGCGGGGUGCUUAAUGCGUUAGCUUCGGCACGGACGGGGUCGAUAUCCGCCCACACCUAGCACCCAACGUUUACGGCUAGGACUAC